GCCUGGGUGGCUCAGUUGGUUGAGCGUCCGACUUCAGCUCAGGUCACGGUCUCACGAUUCGUGAGUUCGAGCCCCACAUCGGGCU
Molecule: transfer RNA, 85 nt
Filed under: Felis catus (domestic cat)
Lineage: Eukaryota; Metazoa; Chordata; Mammalia; Carnivora; Felidae
Rfam family: tRNA
About the family: Transfer RNA (tRNA) molecules are approximately 80 nucleotides in length.
Source: Rfam by way of RNAcentral